RNAcentral lists this ribosomal RNA (883 nucleotides) under Marionina sp. D LM-2012. RNAcentral's name for it is "eukaryotic LSU rRNA". The stretch from base 417 to 569 matches the Rfam family "5.8S ribosomal RNA". The record is from RNAcentral. Lineage: Eukaryota; Metazoa; Annelida; Clitellata; Enchytraeida; Enchytraeidae.
UUUCCGUAGGUGAACCUGCGGAAGGAUCAUUAACGAACGAACGAGUGACUAGCUUGUUUCGUGAAAAUUGGCAAGGAACGCGAAAGUCGGCGGCGACGUCGGCGUUUCGCUACGAGGCAUCGUCGUGCCGCUUCAUUGCGGUCGGCGCAAUCUCGGUGUGACAGCCGGGAGGUCGGUUCUGCUCAGUCGGUUGCCGUUGAGACGCGCAGUGCUCCGUCAAUCGAUAUAUUCUCGGCGUGAUGUCGAUCGUUGUGGGUGCCUACCUCGGUUUGAUAGCCGGGCAAAGCUUGCAUUCGCGAGGCUCAAAGAAUCGCACGCAUAUAGCGAUCGCCCUCAACGUUUCGCUCACGCUAUGUUUAUUACUACUUGCAACUGUUUACCCUGAUCGUUGCCUAUUGUGCAACAAAAAUUGAUACAACUCUAAGCGGUGGAUCACUCGGCUCGUGUGUCGAUGAAGAGCGCAGCCAGCUGCGUGAAUUAAUGUGAAUUGCAGGACACAUUGAACAUCGAUAUCUUGAACGCACAUUGCGGCCUCGGGCAAUACCGAGGCCACGCCUGUCUCAGGGUCGGUUAAACGACAGUCGCGAAUGGCGCUUCAGUUCGCGCAUUGGACGUCGCAGCUCCGGACGUUUCCUCUCGGGAUCGUCUCCAUUAUGGAAUGCUUCGCCGUCUUAAGUACAGACGAAGUUGGUCGAAAGUCCGUGACGCCUCGACGACGCUCGCAUUUUGGUGUGCAGGCAUUGGCGGCUGUUUCACAGCCGCGUGCACCUGGCGUCGUCCUGGCAAAGCGUGCUUCGGCCGUACGUCGAACACGGCGACGCUUUCGUCGCUGAUUAACUUACGUUUCGACCUGAGAUCAGACGAGAUUACCCGCUGAAUUUAA